UUUGAACGCGAAGAACCUUACCUGGGUUUGACAUAUGCCGGAAAGCUCCAGAGAUGGAGUCCCUUUUGUCGGUAUACAGGUGGUGCUUGGCUGUCGUCAGCUCGUGUCGUGAGAUGUUGGGUUAAGUCCCGCAACGAGCGCAACCCUCGUCCUAUGUUGCCAGCGGAUAAUGCCGGGGACUCAUAGGAGACUGCCGGGGUCAACUCGGAGGAAGGUGGGGAUGACGUCAAGUCAUCAUGCCCCUUAUGUCCAGGGCUUCACGCAUGCUACAAUGGCCGGUACAAAGGGCUGCGAUAUCGCAAGAUGGAGCGAAUCCCAAAAAGCCGGUCUCAGUUCGGAUUGGGGUCUGCAACUCGACCCCAUGAAGUCGGAGUCGCGUAGUAAUCGCAGAUCAGCAACGCUGCGGUGAAUACGUUCCCGGGUCUUGUACACACGCA
Molecule: ribosomal RNA, 437 nt
Filed under: bacterium CPTAC84
Lineage: Bacteria
Description: bacterial SSU rRNA
Rfam family: Bacterial small subunit ribosomal RNA
Source: RNAcentral